RNAcentral lists this ribosomal RNA (246 nucleotides) under uncultured bacterium. RNAcentral describes it as "partial 16S ribosomal RNA". It matches the Rfam family "Bacterial small subunit ribosomal RNA", at positions 524 to 769 of the family's 1533-position model. The record is from RNAcentral.
UACGUAGGGUCCGAGCGUUGUCCGGAAUUAUUGGGCGUAAAGGCUCGUAGGCGGUUCGUCACGUCGGGAGUGAAAACUCGGAGCUUAACUCCGAGCCUGCUUCCGAUACGGGCAGACUAGAGGUAGGCAGGGGAGAGCGGAACUCCUGGUGUAGCGGUGGAAUGCGCAGAUAUCAGGAAGAACACCGGUGGCGAAGGCGGCUCUCUGGGCCUUACCUGACGCUGAGGAGCGAAAGCAUGGGGGAGC